Molecule: ribosomal RNA, 1211 nt
Filed under: uncultured bacterium
Lineage: Bacteria
Description: bacterial SSU rRNA
Rfam family: Bacterial small subunit ribosomal RNA
Source: RNAcentral
CAUAAAGCCAAGAGACCACCUGGUAUUUUGGCCAAAGAUUUAUCGGUAUGGGAUGGGCCUGCGUCUGAUUAGCUGGUUGGUGGGGUAACGGCCUACCAAGGCAACGAUCAGUAGCCGACCUGAGAGGGUGAUCGGCCACAUUGGAACUGAGACACGGUCCAAACUCCUACGGGAGGCAGCAGUGGGGAAUAUUGCACAAUGGGCGAAAGCGUGAUGCAGCAACGCCGCGUGAGCGAGGAAGGCCUUUGGGUCGUAAAGCUCUGUCGGGAAGGAAGAUAAUGACGGUACUUCCCGAGGAAGCCCCGGCUAACUACGUGCCAGCAGCCGCGGUAAUACGUAGGGGGCGAGCGUUAUCCGGAAUUAUUGGGCGUAAAGAGUGCGUAGGUGGUUUCUUAAGCGUGGGGUGAAGGCCAUUGGCUUAACCAGUGUAAGCCUCGCGAACUGGGGAACUUGAGUGCAGGAGAGGAAAGCGGAAUUCCUAGUGUAGCGGUGAAAUGCGUAGAUAUUAGGAGGAACACCAGUGGCGAAGGCGGCUUUCUGGGCUGUAACUGACACUGAGGCACGAAAGCGUGGGGAGCAAACAGGAUUAGAUACCCUGGUAGUCCACGCCGUAAACGAUGAGCACUAGGUGUCGGGGUCGCAAGAGCUUCGAGCAAGCAAAAAACACCAAAUAAAUGCUCAACCCUGGGGGAGUACGUGCGCAAGCAUGAAACUCAAAGGAAUUGACGGGGACCCGCACAAGCAGCGGAGCAUGUGGUUUAAUUAGAAGCAACGCGAAGAACCUUACCAGGGCUCGACAUCCCUCUGACCGGUCGGUAACGCGGCCUUCCCUUCGGGGCAGAGGAGACAGGUGGUGCAUGGUUGUCGUCAGCUCGUGUCGUGAGAUGUUGGGUUAAGUCCCGCAACGAGCGCAACCCUUGUCAUUAGUUGCCAUCAGGUAAAGCUGGGCACUCUAGUGAGACCGCCGGGGAUAACUCGGAGGAAGGUGGGGAUGACGUCAAAUCAUCAUGCCCCUUAUGUUCUGGGCUACACACGUGCUACAAUGGCCGGUACAGAGAGACGCAAAAUCGCGAGGUGGAGCAAAACUCUAAAACCGGUCUCAGUUCGGAUUGCAGGCUGAAACCCGCCUGCAUGAAGUCGGAGUUGCUAGUAAUCGUGAAUCAGAAUGUCACGGUGAAUGCGUUCCCGGGUCUUGUACUCACCGCCCGUCA